Capsicum annuum is the source of this 1111-nucleotide long non-coding RNA. RefSeq lists it as uncharacterized. The transcript is spliced from 5 exons. The record is from RefSeq and is a predicted model, not a curated record. NCBI's taxonomy places the organism in Eukaryota, Viridiplantae, Streptophyta, Magnoliopsida, Solanales, Solanaceae.
CAACUUUUCAAGUCCAAAAAUAAACUAAAUCUGGAAACUUAACUGGAAUUUUUUUCUAAGUCUCGGACCCCCUUGACAAGCUUAUAGGACUGAAUUAUCUUACACCUGUACAAUAAUAUAAUUUUUAAGUGAAGAAGAUAAAAAGGUGGAUCUGAAUAAUAAUAUAAUAUUUAAGUGAAGAAGAUAAAAAGGUAGAUCUCAAUAUUCACUGAGUUUCAAACUCGACAGCACUUAACUAGAUGAUUUCUUUACUUGUGUUAGUUUAAGGACUGGCUAUAUUGAUCAAAAUACUUUCAGAAAGAGCUUUUGCUAGAUGUUCUCUAAAAUCAGUUUUAGAGAUCUAAGCACAAUCCUGCAAAUAUUUUCUCAAAAUUCUUGUAGAUGGCUCCAAAUGGUUCCUAAUGUCUUUCUAUAAAAAAAAUACUCCAAUGGUUGAAUAUUGCAGUUUGAUACCAAUAGUUCAAGUUUGUUCUGACAUUUCCUGUUCGAGAAGCAGAGUUUGAGUUAGAAGAAUCUGUUGAUGUUAGAGCUUGUUUUUGUUUUGCAGCAUACAAGUUGAUGGAAGAUUUAUAAGAAAAGCAAUAACAAAAAUCAGAGAUGCAAAAAGAACUGGAUGCUUAAAUGACAACUUGACUUUUGAGAAUCAAAAUUUAGAAGUGGUUGCUUUAACAGAGAAACAAAAUAUAGAAAUGUGAUUUUCAAAGUUGAUGGGUCCUCAAGGUUUGAAAAAAAAUUCCAAAAGAGUUGAUUGAAGCAAAUAAUCAGGUAUUAGAAAAGUUUCAAGCAGAGUUGAAAGCUCGUGCAAUGUUGCGUAUUGCAGAAGAGACAGAGAAGAGGCUUUUGAGUGAAAAAGCAUCACUUGAGGAAAAAAUUGAAGAGCUAGAGAAGAAGAUAACAGUGGGAAGAUUUAAAUCAAGUAACAACACAAGUGCUAUCGGAGAAGAGUCUUUUUUUUUAAAUACUUAGUAUAGAAUCAUCAGUUUAUAUAUUUUUUACAUGUAAAAACAUGUAGAAGUACUUGAUUUUUUGAAAUUAACAAAUAUCGAGUUCAGCAAUCUUAUAUAUGUAUGGACCUUUGCAAAUUUAUAUAAUUUUAAAUUUUAGUAUUUUU